Molecule: long non-coding RNA, 572 nt
Filed under: Gadus morhua (Atlantic cod)
Lineage: Eukaryota; Metazoa; Chordata; Actinopteri; Gadiformes; Gadidae
Description: lncRNA (ENSGMOG00000036724.1)
Source: RNAcentral
ACAUUUUCAGAUGCUGGCAAAAUCCUUAUAACAGUAUACACACUAAUGACUCAUGUAUGCUUUCAUUGAUUCAAUAUUGACUUUAAUUGAUUGACUGUUGACCAGGGUCCGCUGGGAUACAGAGGAGAACCAGGGACUAAGGGGGAGAUGGGCGAGGAGGGUUUGGUUGGCGGGAAAGGACCAAAAGGAGACGUUGGUGAACCUGGCGAGAAGGUGUGUGUGUGUGUGUGUGUGUGUGUGUGUGUGUGUGUGUGUGUGUGUGUGUGUGUGUGUGUGUGUGUGUGUGUGUGUGUGUGUGUGUGUGUGUGUGUGUGUGUGUGUGUGUGUGUGUGAAACAACCAGCUACACCUGUCAAUCACUCAUGUUUUCGUGAAUAAAGCAACUUUACAAAUUGACCAUCAAUCAAAUAGAAAACAAAAACACAUGAGCGGAUUGAAUAUAAAUCUGAGCCAGGCCCUCCCACUAGCUCAAAAAAUCUGUAUCAGAUAAAUAGGAUGACAUGACAUCUCAUGAAAGUCGCUCUCCAUUACAACAGCACCUUGGCUGUACUGCCCCCUAGUGGUCAAUAUGGG